AUUGAACGCUGGCGGCAUGCUUUACACAUGCAAGUCGAACGGUAACAGGCCUUCGGGUGCUGACGAGUGGCGAACGGGUGAGUAAUGCAUCGGAACGUGCCCAAUCGUGGGGGAUAACGUAGCGAAAGUUACGCUAAUACCGCAUAAGCCCUGAGGGGGGAAAGUGGGGGACCGCAAGGCCUCACGCGAAUGGAGCGGCCGAUGUCAGAUUAGCUAGUUGGUGGGGUAAAGGCCCACCAAGGCGACGAUCUGUAGCGGGUCUGAGAGGAUGAUCCGCCACACUGGGACUGAGACACGGCCCAGACUCCUACGGGAGGCAGCAGUGGGGAAUUUUGGACAAUGGGCGCAAGCCUGAUCCAGCCAUGCCGCGUGCGGGACGAAGGCCU
This 386-nucleotide ribosomal RNA is filed under the name uncultured bacterium. Its description in RNAcentral is "bacterial SSU rRNA". It matches the Rfam family "Bacterial small subunit ribosomal RNA", at positions 29 to 417 of the family's 1533-position model. The record is from RNAcentral.